RNAcentral lists this ribosomal RNA (1345 nucleotides) under uncultured bacterium. RNAcentral's name for it is "partial 16S ribosomal RNA". It matches the Rfam family "Bacterial small subunit ribosomal RNA", at positions 28 to 1381 of the family's 1533-position model. The record is from RNAcentral.
GACGAACGCUGGCGGCGUGCUUAACACAUGCAAGUCGAACGGAAAGGCCCUGCUUUUGUGGGGUGCUCGAGUGGCGAACGGGUGAGUAACACGUGAGUAACCUGCCCUUGACUUUGGGAUAACUUCAGGAAACUGGGGCUAAUACCGGAUAGGAGCUCCUGCUGCAUGGUGGGGGUUGGAAAGUUUCGGCGGUUGGGGAUGGACUCGCGGCUUAUCAGCUUGUUGGUGGGGUAGUGGCUUACCAAGGCUUUGACGGGUAGCCGGCCUGAGAGGGUGACCGGCCACAUUGGGACUGAGAUACGGCCCAGACUCCUACGGGAGGCAGCAGUGGGGAAUAUUGCACAAUGGGCGGAAGCCUGAUGCAGCAACGCCGCGUGCGGGAUGACGGCCUUCGGGUUGUAAACCGCUUUCGCCUGUGACGAAGCGUGAGUGACGGUAAUGGGUAAAGAAGCACCGGCUAACUACGUGCCAGCAGCCGCGGUGAUACGUAGGGUGCGAGCGUUGUCCGGAUUUAUUGGGCGUAAAGGGCUCGUAGGUGGUUGAUCGCGUCGGAAGUGUAAUCUUGGGGCUUAACCCUGAGCGUGCUUUCGAUACGGGUUGACUUGAGGAAGGUAGGGGAGAAUGGAAUUCCUGGUGAGCGGUGGAAUGCGCAGAUAUCAGGAGGAACACCAGUGGCGAAGGCGGUUCUCUGGGCCUUUCCUGACGCUGAGGAGCGAAAGCGUGGGGAGCGAACAGGCUUAGAUACCCUGGUAGUCCACGCUGUAAACGGUGGGUACUAGGUGUGGGGUCCAUUCCACGGGUUCCGUGCCGUAGCUAACGCUUUAAGUACCCCGCCUGGGGAGUACGGCCGCAAGGCUAAAACUCAAAGGAAUUGACGGGGCCCCGCACAAGCGGCGGAGCAUGCGGAUUAAUUCGAUGCAACGCGUAGAACCUUACCUGGGUUUGACAUGGAUCGGGAGUGCUCAGAGAUGGGUGUGCCUCUUUUGGGGUCGGUUCACAGGUGGUGCAUGGCUGUCGUCAGCUCGUGUCGUGAGAUGUUGGGUUAAGUCCCGCAACGAGCGCAACCCUUGUUCACUGUUGCCAGCACGUUAUGGUGGGGACUCAGUGGAGACCGCCGGGGUCAACUCGGAGGAAGGUGGGGAUGACGUCAAGUCAUCAUACCCCUUAUGUCCAGGGCUUCACGCAUGCUACAAUGGCUGGUACAGAGAGUGGCGAGCCUGUGAGGGUGAGCGAAUCUCGGAAAGCCGGUCUCAGUUCGGAUUGGGGUCUGCAACUCGACCUCAUGAAGUCGGAGUCGCUAGUAAUCGCAGAUCAGCAACGCUGCGGUGAAUACGUUCCCGGGGCU